RNAcentral lists this long non-coding RNA (254 nucleotides) under Ananas comosus (pineapple). RNAcentral's name for it is "long non-coding RNA (ACOM_LNC036028)". Lineage: Eukaryota; Viridiplantae; Streptophyta; Magnoliopsida; Poales; Bromeliaceae. The record is from RNAcentral.
UAUGGUUUAUGUGAGGUUAGAAAGCCAUUCGAAUGGUUCCGGUGAAGUUCGGUGAAGUUCGGAAGUAUUCGGGCGUUUCGGUGCGCAUAUGUGCGGAAACGGGACCCGAAAGGGUAUGUUGGGCCGUGAGCUAAAUCCGGCGUUAGCGCGGAUGAAAAGAUGAGGAAAAUACGCUUGAGAACAUGUUUGGAGAGUCUCGGUUCGAUUUGAGACGAAUCGGAGGUCAAACGAGCGAAAACGGACGAAAACGGGCG